GCCUACGGGGCGCAGCAGUGGGGAAUAUUGCACAAUGGGGGGAACCCUGAUGCAGCGACGCCGCGUGAGUGAAGAAGUAUUUCGGUAUGUAAAGCUCUGUCAGCAGGGAAGAAGAAAUACGGUACCUGACCAAGAAGCCCCGGCUAACUACGUGCCAGCAGCCGCGGUAAUACGUAGGGGGCAAGCGUUAUCCGGAUUUACUGGGUGUAAAGUGAGCGAAGACGGCAGGGAAAGCCUGGAGUGAAAGGCAGGGGCCCAACCCCUG
RNAcentral lists this ribosomal RNA (265 nucleotides) under uncultured bacterium. RNAcentral's name for it is "partial 16S ribosomal RNA". It matches the Rfam family "Bacterial small subunit ribosomal RNA", at positions 337 to 618 of the family's 1533-position model. The record is from RNAcentral.